UCAAACAGUAAAAACCUAAGCGCUUGA
This 27-nucleotide non-coding RNA is filed under the name Bombyx mori (domestic silkworm). Lineage: Eukaryota; Metazoa; Arthropoda; Insecta; Lepidoptera; Bombycidae. The record is from RNAcentral.